CGGGGUGCAGCAGGCGCGAAAACUUUACAAUGCCGGCAACGGCGAUAAGGGAACCUCGAGUGCCAGGUUACAAAUCUGGCUGUCGUGAUGCCUAAAAAGCAUUGCAUAGCAAGGGCCGGGCAAGACCGGUGCCAGCCGCCGCGGUAACACCGGCGGCUCGAGUGGUAACCGUUAUUAUUGGGUCUAAAGGGUCUGUAGCCGGCCGGGUAAGUCUCUUGGGAAAUCUGGCAGCUUAACUGUCAGGCUUUCAGGAGAUACUGCCUGGCUCGAGGCCGGGAGAGGUGAGAGGUACUUCAGGGGUAGGGGUGAAAUCUUGUAAUCCUUGAAGGACCACCAGUGGCGAAGGCGUCUCACCAGAACGGACCUGACGGCAAGGGACGAAAGCUAGGGGCACGAACCGGAUUAGAUACCCGGGUAGUCCUAGCCGUAAACGAUACUCGCUAGGUGUCGGCCACGGUGCGACCGUGGUCGGUGCCGUAGGGAAGCCGUGAAGCGAGCCACCUGGGAAGUACGGCCGCAAGGCUGAAACUUAAAGGAAUUGGCG
This 544-nucleotide ribosomal RNA is filed under the name uncultured archaeon. RNAcentral describes it as "bacterial SSU rRNA". It matches the Rfam family "Archaeal small subunit ribosomal RNA", at positions 326 to 870 of the family's 1478-position model. The record is from RNAcentral.